CUAACUCACACUUUCUACUCACUUUCAGAGAACCUUGAGCUGAAGCCGUCAACCCCUCUGCUAGGGUUUGUUUCCUCACUGUUGUCAAGUUCGCUCGAGCUCUUUCCUACUCAACUUCCCUAAACUGUUCCGGAGCUGCUGUGCUCACUCUUGUGGUGUCGAGGUCCCGUGCUAAACCCUUUCCAGGAUGUGUUUGCAAGACGAAGCAUUCAAUAAACCAAAUGCAAACCUUGCUUGCCUUAGUUGCUUCUGGAGAAGAUAUUCUUGAACCUCUCGCUGCAAUGAUUGUUGUUUUGGUACAUCCGUAUGGUAUAAUAAGGAUGUUCGAAGUGGUGUAUUGUCUCUAAAUGAUGCCCAAAUGAUGUCCAAAUGAUGCAGGAUGAUCAAAUGGUGGAAGCAAAACACAUUAAGAUUAGGUUUAAAUGUAGUAUUGUAUUAAGAUUUGUCAAUGAUUUUUAAUGUUGUCUAUUUUAUGUUUAAAUAUUUCAA
Molecule: long non-coding RNA, 489 nt
Organism: Vigna unguiculata (cowpea)
Lineage: Eukaryota; Viridiplantae; Streptophyta; Magnoliopsida; Fabales; Fabaceae
Source: RefSeq, a predicted model, not a curated record